CCUCUCUCUAUCUAGAGUUGGUGAGACUAUCCAGAGGAUCCUCAAUGAUAGACCGCUAAACUGUUUGGAUCUGAAGCCUGUGAAAGUUCCUAUAUACAUCAUUUACAAGUUAUAGGGGGAUGUGGCGAGUGUUUAUGGAGAUGAGAUGGUACGACUUGAGCAUUUGGCUUUCGUAAUCGUCUCAGCGAAAUUGGAAAACAAUUGUCCGAAUGAGUGGACUUACGUGGCCAGUGAUGACAACAACAAAAUGGAUGCCGAACUCUUAGAAAUUUUGAGAAAAGCCAACGGCAAGUGUCCUGUGAAUAGCUGGAAGGAUGACCGCUUGAAGUGUCUACCAGAAGAAUGUUUUGA
Non-coding RNA from Camellia sinensis, 351 nucleotides. NCBI's taxonomy places the organism in Eukaryota, Viridiplantae, Streptophyta, Magnoliopsida, Ericales, Theaceae. The record is from RefSeq and is a predicted model, not a curated record.